This 468-nucleotide ribosomal RNA is filed under the name uncultured bacterium. RNAcentral's name for it is "partial 16S ribosomal RNA". It matches the Rfam family "Bacterial small subunit ribosomal RNA", at positions 28 to 507 of the family's 1533-position model. The record is from RNAcentral.
GACGAACGCUGGCGGCGUGCUUAACACAUGCAAGUCGAACGGAAAGGCUCUGCUUUUGUGUGGUGCUCGAGUGGCGAUCGGGUGAGUAACACGGGAGUAACCUGCCUUCUACUUUGGGAUAACUUCAGGCAACUGGGGCUAAUACCGGAUAGGUGCUGCUGCUGCAUGGUGGGGGUCGGAAAGUUUCGUCGGUUGGGGAUGGAUUCGCGGCUUAUCAGCUGGUUGGUGGGGUAGUGGCUUACGAAGGCUUUGACGGGUAGCCGGCCUGAGAGGGUGACCGGCGACAUGAGGACUGAGGGUAGGCGCAGACUCCUACGGGAGGCAACAGUGGGGAGUAUGGCACAAUGGGCGGAAGCGUGAGGAAGCAACGCCGCGUGCGGAAUGACGGCCUUCGGGUUAUAAACCGCUUUCACCUGUGACGAAGCGUGAGUGACGGUAAUAUGAAAAGAAGCACCGGCUAAGUACGUG